Long non-coding RNA from Equus caballus (horse), 7284 nucleotides. NCBI's taxonomy places the organism in Eukaryota, Metazoa, Chordata, Mammalia, Perissodactyla, Equidae. The record is from Ensembl.
AUGGACAUUGAAAAGCAUGUAUGCUGUGCCUUUGGGUGGAGAGUUCUGUGAGGGUUGGUUAGAUCCUGUUGGUUGAUGGUUGGUUGAUGGCUGUUGCGUUCCUCUUUACUUGUCAUCUAUAUCCACAAAUUGGCUGAGACCUUUCACUGGGGACCACACCUCCUGCCUCUCCUCUCCAUGCAGCCACCUCCCUGGACCCCAGAGACUGUUUCCUCCCUCACCCUUCCAGACCUAAGGAGUCCACAGCUGUCUGAUCUUCCCAGCACCAGGACACUGGGAUCUCUAACCCUGUCCCCAGAGUUGUAACUUUCCUCAGUGACCCCGUUUUCUGUGCCAUCUGUUUCCUGCUGUGGCCUCAUCAUGUGAUCUGUAGCCCGGAGGGCUACUGCCCUUACCCAGCACCCCUAAGGGGGAGAUUCCCACCAAAAAUGAGCUCACAGAGUGAAACAGGUUUGGGCUGGAAUAAAAGGCAUAACUGAGGCUUCCAUUUCCACUUAGAAUGCAGAGAGCUGCAAAGAACAUCACUCCCGAGCUAACAGUGAUAAAAGUCGAUAAUCCUCAAAAGCGUCAGAGAGAUGAGUCACGAGGAACAAAGUAAACUGAAUUCCAAAAAGGAACCAGCCCCUGCAAGGAGAGAGAAGUCGCACGAACUGUUUCAUCUUUGACAGGGCAGAGAAGAAAGAGGGGCCACCAGAUAAAUGGAUAAGAAAGACUCAGCUAAAUUUUAAUUCUUAAAAGGUUGAUGAAACGACACUGGGGGAGAGGUGGGGUCCCACACAUAUAGGGGAGUUUGCAGUCACUUGCAAGUUCUCUGCCUUGGCCACCACCAACUGCUGACAAGAAAGAUGGGAAACAGGACAUCAGAGAGAGUCCUCUGUGUGACGUGGGUGUGCAUGACGUGAUUAGCGGCUCCUGGGGGCAGCUGCAAGCCCCACAUGCAUCCUGGACUCUUUUGGUAGAGGCAGAGGGGGACGCACCAAACCCUCGUGCCCCUGGGGCAUAAGCAAAGGUCCAGUGGUUCUCGGGGAGGGUUAAGAGCUUGGAGAGGGACCCCCUCUGUGGGGCAGACAUGCAGGGACUGCUAAACACUGAGAGGAACACAGGAACCCUGAGAAGAACCCUCCGCUGCAGCCCACAGCUGGAGGAAUUGGAAGUCUGUGGUGCUAAGAUAACCAUCGCAACCACAAACCCAAACCAGCUGUGCUCCUGACCAGAUGCACCAGUGCCCCACACUAAGCCCUGCAGAAGAUGAGCUGCACGGACUUCCUGGCCCAGGGGGUUCUGGCUGCUUGUGCUACCCAUUACCAAGAAAGCAGCAUAGAGGUCUCCAGCUGUAAUUAUGGAUUUAUUUCAACAUUCACUUCUUUCACGGUUUUCUUCGUGUCUUUUGAAGCUCUGUUGUUACGACAUACACAUUUAGGAUGGUGAUGUCUCCUUGAUGGCUUGACCCCUUCAUCUUUAGGUAAUGUCCUUCUUUAUCCCUAAUAACUGUCCUUGCACUGAAAUCAGCUUUGUCUGAUAUUAACAUCAACUCUCCAGCUUUUCUUUCUCUAUUCGUGUCUGCACAGUCUAUCUUUUUCCAUCCUUUUACCUUUAACCUACCUACAUCUUUAUAUUUAAAGUGGCUUCUUUUAAACAGCAUAUAGAUAGAAAAUAGCAUUCAUAACACAUGAAACAGGAUACCAUUUUUUAAAGAAGCAGAAUUUUUUUAACACAAACAAAAUUUUAGAUAUAUUUGUUAUGAUUCAUAGCAACAAAAUUUAACAUAAGGAUUACACCGUAGACCAGAUUCAGCUGAAGGGAGAAUUAAUGAACUGGAAGGUAAAUCUGUGGCACAGGGAGAUAAGGUUGAAAAAUACUAAAGAAAACUUUAGACGAGCAAGAUAGAAUGAGAAGCUCGAACAUAUAUUUUCUAAGAAGGAGAGAACAGAGAGCAUGGAAGAGGCAAUAUCAAAGAUAAAAGAAUUUUCCAGAGUUGGGGGAAAAAGACCCAUAAAACUGCUCUCACUGGAUGUCGCAUUUGGCUGCUAAUUAUAAAAAAUCAAAGUGAGGGUGGUUUAAACACGAUAGAGGCUUAUUUUCUCUCUUGUUAAGAAGUCUGGAGACAGGCAGCUGUAAGUUGAAAUCAAAAUAAGCCUCUUGUCAGGCUCACAACUUCUCAAGGACCUGGGAGCAUCUCUUUGAAAUGUAAUCAUCGAGGCAGAUAAUGUCCCAUCCCGGUGUCUUGGGAGGAGGUGGCCUGACUUCAGCUGGCGCCUGACUAAAUUGCAGACCCUACCUCCAGUCGUGAAGCUAUGAGAAAUCGAGCAGUUUCCUCUCGGAGUCACGGCUAUCGCAGGUCGUAGCUGCUUAGCUACAUACAAGAGUCAGCUCCCUGUCUGUCGCUUCAGCCUCCGAGCAGCCCGCCAGUGAUGCACGUCACGUUCUAGCCCAGUGCUUAGUCAAUAAUCAAAUUGCUUUCUUUCUCUCCUACUCUUGUGGAGAUGUUUUCUGGAUGGGGAGGAGAUUUUGUUUGUAAUUCUGUUUCCCCAACACAGUUCUGGAUGGCAGAGCAGCUGCCCCUUUGAGCAGAGCUCGAGGUCCUUUUGUGUUUCUGCUUUGACAUCCUUAACACCUGGCAUCGUGGAAAUAAAUGAAACCCACCUGAAUGUGAAAAGAAAAGGGACUUUUCCAGAGCUGACUAUCGCAAGGGGGUCAGCCACCAUCACUUGCAUUGGGUGGAGACUCAGGCAGGCGGAGGAGGAGGAGACCUUAAUAGCGGAAGAGAGGGGAGGCUCAGGGGUGCCCUGAGGGAGGCUGGGGAACCGGCGAAGCUGUGGGUGGCUCACCAGAAGCAGGCAUCGUAUGUGACUGGUUAGGGGAGCAGAUUCAGCUUUUUCUGAUUGGUCCUAAAUUGGAAGCAGGGGAAAAAAAUUAAAGAAGCUAUUGUUAUUUUAUUAAUAAUAAAAAUUAUUAACCAAGUCCUGGAUAUUUUGGGCCAAUUGCUACAGGGGUUAUCAUUUGGCCUCCUGAACCAGUUCCUAGAGAUAGCAGUCUGAAUUCCUACCCAUCUGCCUGGCUACUAUGGAUAAUAGGUUGGUUUCCUGGGCUGGUUGCCGCAGCUUGUGCAUCAAAGUUCUAUUUGAUACAUGUCCUGGCCAUUGUCCAUUGGUGUAUUCAGUCUUUCAUCAUCCGUCAUCAAGUUCACCUCGUGGUCCCAAUAUGGCUGCUGCAAAUCCAGCCAGGAUGACUACGUUCCAGGCAGAAAGAAGGUAAGCAGAAGGGCAAAGAGCAUGCCUCCCAGGUGAGUCCCUUUCCAGGACUUUUUUAUGAGGUUCCACCCAAAUACAUUUGCUUAGAUCUCUCCAACCUUCAGGGAGGCAGGGAACUGCGAUUUGUUUACUGGGCACAAGGAUGCGCUCCCCCAAAAAAGAGCCCCUCUGUUAAAGGAAAAGGAGAAAUGGACACUGAACAGGCAACCGCAACCUCUUUCACACCUUCACAUUGAAAAAGUGGAAGAAUAAAUCUAUUUUUUCUAAAAAAACAUAUUUAUGAAAAAUACAUUACUGAAUGCACUCUUGAAUUUAGUCUUCAAUAUGAAAUAUUUGUCUUAUGACAAUUAUUUUAAUAAAGAACUGGUUGAUCAGAACUCUUCAUAGUCAAGGUUAUAUGCUUAAAAUGUACUCCCAGUGCCUUCUCAACACCCCCCUCCAUGUCCCUCCCUCUCAACGGCGCUGAGGCAGAGACGAAAGAGCGGUGUGAACACGCUGAUAUGAACACAAAUUGAAAACUGUUCAACUAAAACGAAUUAAUUCAAAGAAACAAUAAAUUCAGAGAAUCGGUCAUUUGGCAAAUCGGUUCUUCAGAGAACUGGCUUUUAGCGAUUGCCUGUGAGCAAAGAGAAACGAAGAAAUGAAGCGGAGGCUGAGACACCACUGCGUUCGGGAGACCGUGUUCUGAAAUCCAAGGAAAUGGGUCCUUUGCACACUUGAGACCGAGUGGGCUUUCAAGAUGGGCCCCUUGGCAGCCUGGGGAGCAGGAGGAGCCUUGCUGGGAACGCUGUCACGGGAGGAAGGGGCAAGGACAGGGGCUGCAAGCCUUCUCGGCAGCUCUCUGGGACCAGCGGCAUUUCACCCGCAAUCGCAGUUCUAGGAAACGAGGGCGACCAUUGUGUGCAUUUCCUUCCCCAGUGAAGGGUCCAGACGCUGCAAACAUGCACGUAGGCCCACACACGUACGUGCACACACACACGCACAUACAUGCACGCUCACACCGCAUGCACACACAAACCCUCCACUUGCCUUUCCUUCCCUGGGGCUUUCAAUUUUCUCAGCUGCUAGGAGUGGGGGAGAAGCUGCUUUCCAUUUUUGCUCCGUGGAAUUUGCUCCACACUUUCCUUGCCCACAGCCCCAUCUGCACGGCCUGCCUCCCCAAAAAUGAGGUGCCACUCCCUGCCUGACCUGAGGAACACACAGGAUCCUCCUGCCACCACGUCUUUCUGCAGAAAACUCUUUUUAAAAAUUCCUCCAUCAGAAAGUCACCUUACCAUUAAGGAAGUGUCCAUCAUUAAAAUGCAAAAUGGGAGGAAGGAAGGUGCUUGGAGCGGUGACUCCCAAUCCUCAAAGAAAAAAUGGAAAGUGCCUCUACUCCCUUCUGGGAGACCAGAAAAAGGAAGACCCGGGGAGGAGGGGAAGUUUUGCCCGCUCCUGCUUUGAUUGCAUUGUCGGGAGCAAGAAUAGUUGGAAGGAAGAAUAGGAAAUUAUUGAAUCGGUGGCUUUUUAAUGGUAAAAAGAAAAAAAGCGGAUGCCUCCUUGACAGUUUAAUGGGAAUUUGUCCUCUGAUCUCGGCUGACUGCAACUGACAAGAAAGGGUUUCGAUUCCGGAGGGAGAGCCCCUAUCGCUGUGCAAGCUGGAAAGGGCCAGAAACUGCUUUUCUUCACACGCCCUUGAGGAGAAUCUCUAGGAUGCUCAGGGGGGUGAGAAGGGGCCCCGCGGCCGUGAUGAGGAGGUGCUUGAAUAGAAGGUGAAAAUGGGCUCCCACGGCCCGGGACAUAGGCCACCCAUGGGGCAGCAAUUUCCCCUGGACCAGCAGGGCCUCUGAGCUUUGCCUCUGAUGCCACAUAGUCAGGUGCAAAUUUGGGAUCUAUUUUUGCUUAAGCUCCUGGGCCUCAGCUGCCCUGCUUUAAAAGACCUCUGUCUGGUCGUGAGGAUUAAACAAGAGUGGAUCACCAGUGGCCAAUGAUGUAAUCAAGCAGGCCCAGGGAACCGAGCCUCCAUAAAAAUCCCUGGGCAAACAGGUUCAGAGAGCUGCCGGUUGGUGAACGCGUCCACCCCAGUUCCACGGGGACAGGAGCUCCUGGGCUCGGGGCCCUUCCGGACGUCGCCCUGGGUACCACUUCAGCUCUAUCCUUUAUGAUAAACUGGUAAAUGUAUCUAACAGUCCCUGUGAGCCAGUGACCUCAGAACACUGGGCUAAGAGAUGUCCGGCCCUGGAACCACGGGCUUAUGGGAAUUCUCAUUUCGUGUGGUCAUCCCUGCUCACGCUGAUCCUCCGAGAGGACCCGGGGGGACACGCCUUCCUGCCCAUCCUGACGUGCCAGGUCCUCGCACAGGCUCCUUUCCCUCCGGACAUCUUCCUUCUCCAGUCAAGUCAGCACAAAAACAGCCCAGAGGAGCCAUGAAAACCGCUUUAUUAUUUCAGUUCUUUCAUUUCUUUGUUACAGACUUGGAACCAGCAAAACAUAAACUAAAUGUCAGGCUUGCAAUUUUCUGCUUCAAAAAUUGGCAAAUCCCACUGUGAAUCCUAGAGAGCACCACUUUGCUUUUGUUUCAUGGGUAAAAAGCCAGGCUCGGGGGGGAAAUGACUAAACGGCUCUUGACGUGGAACUCCCUGUCCUCCCACACGUCCGCACCCAUGAGCCCCUCACCGCCGCGCUUGCUUCUGUCCUCGGUCCCACACUCUGUGUCCCCCCCUAACAGGCCGUUUUAAAGGUGGGGAGAGUGGAGGAAACCUUCCUGAACACAACACCCAGCAGUCAUAAACGAAAAGAUGGAUAAAUGUGACUGCAAAAGUCUGUAUUAAAGGGGCUGGCCCCGUGGCCGAGUGGUUAAGUUUGCGCGCUCCGCUGCAGGCGGCCCAGUGUUUCGUUAGUUCGAAUCCUGGGCGCGGACAUGGCACUGCUCAUCAAACCACGCUGAGGCAGCGUCCCACAUGCCACAACUAGAAGAACCCACAACGAAGAAUACACAACUAUGUACCGGGGGGCUUUGGGGAGAAAAAGGAAAAAAUAAAAAAUCUUUAAAAAAAAAAAAAGUCUGUAUUAAAAAGAAAACAUUUAAAAAAGCCAAAAGUCAAAUUGGAAGAAAACUGCAAUUCACAUAACAUGAAGGGACAGAAAGAUUACCUUCAAAUCAACCCGCCACCCCAAAAAUACUGAGGGGCAACUGGGCCAAGGACAGCGAAAGGCAGGUCAAAGAAGAGGCUCGACCUCCCUUAUCACGGAGACACGUAAAUUAUAACUGCAGUAAGGACUUCUGCUCCGACCGCUGGAGGCACGAUGGCCUGGAAUUACCCUCCCGCCAUAACCUGCUGGAGAGCUGGCGGCACAGGUCAGUGGUCCCUAUGCCAAGGCAGACACGUCCCCGAUGACUCGUGUCUAGAAGUAAUGCUCUGCCUGCAGCCCAGCGAGGGCGAGCCCAAACGGAGCCUGACAACCUCCUGCGUGCAGAUGGAGACUGGACGUUGGGACCGAGCGCCUAAGAGGGAGCUGACAGAUGAGAGAAGUCUGCUGGGGUCCUCUUGGGUCUCUGGUCAAGUAUCACCCUGGACACAUGUGGGUGACACCCCAUGAGGACAGAGAGGGCCUUUUGAGGAAAGAACAAGCCUCAGACCUGGGAAUCAUUUGAGUCCCAUCCAGCCGGCGUGGAGAGACUGAACAGCGGCUCAGAUCCACCCGAACAAGCUCGCAAACCAACCUCAGGAGGAUCCACUUAAUCCACAGUAGCUUAGCUGCCUGCCAGCAAGGGCGAAACACUGUUUAAAGCAAUAGAAUAAGACUCAGCAAUCAAUCACGAAGACUUCACAGUAUCAGGCGCCCCAUCCAAAACUUUCAGACACACUCAGUAGCUGAAGAAUGUGUGCCAGUAAUAGAAGACAAAGCAGUCCACAGAGACAGAUCUGGAACGACAGAGAUGAUGGACUAGCAGGAACGGAAGCCAUUAUUUUCUACAUGCUCCAUCUGCUCGAGGAUUUUUUUUUUAAUGAACAUGGUCAGAAGAGAAAUGGAAGACAUUUUUUAAAAGACC